Molecule: ribosomal RNA, 253 nt
Filed under: uncultured bacterium
Lineage: Bacteria
Description: partial 16S ribosomal RNA
Rfam family: Bacterial small subunit ribosomal RNA
Source: RNAcentral
UACGAAGGGGGCUAGCGUUGCUCGGAAUUACUGGGCGUAAAGCGCACGUAGGCGGCUUGUUAAGUCAGGGGUGAAAUCCUGGAGCUCAACUCCAGAACUGCCUUUGAUACUGGCGAGCUUGAGUUCGGGAGAGGUGAGUGGAACUGCGAGUGUAGAGGUGAAAUUCGUAGAUAUUCGCAAGAACACCAGUGGCGAAGGCGGCUCACUGGCCCGAUACUGACGCUGAGGUGCGAAAGCGUGGGGAUCAAACAGG